RNAcentral lists this ribosomal RNA (2424 nucleotides) under Escherichia coli. Its description in RNAcentral is "partial 23S ribosomal RNA". It matches the Rfam family "Bacterial large subunit ribosomal RNA", at positions 419 to 2833 of the family's 2925-position model. Lineage: Bacteria; Pseudomonadati; Pseudomonadota; Gammaproteobacteria; Enterobacterales; Enterobacteriaceae. The record is from RNAcentral.
GGGACACGUGGUAUCCUGUCUGAAUAUGGGGGGACCAUCCUCCAAGGCUAAAUACUCCUGACUGACCGAUAGUGAACCAGUACCGUGAGGGAAAGGCGAAAAGAACCCCGGCGAGGGGAGUGAAAAAGAACCUGAAACCGUGUACGUACAAGCAGUGGGAGCACGCUUAGGCGUGUGACUGCGUACCUUUUGUAUAAUGGGUCAGCGACUUAUAUUCUGUAGCAAGGUUAACCGAAUAGGGGAGCCGAAGGGAAACCGAGUCUUAACUGGGCGUUAAGUUGCAGGGUAUAGACCCGAAACCCGGUGAUCUAGCCAUGGGCAGGUUGAAGGUUGGGUAACACUAACUGGAGGACCGAACCGACUAAUGUUGAAAAAUUAGCGGAUGACUUGUGGCUGGGGGUGAAAGGCCAAUCAAACCGGGAGAUAGCUGGUUCUCCCCGAAAGCUAUUUAGGUAGCGCCUCGUGAAUUCAUCUCCGGGGGUAGAGCACUGUUUCGGCAAGGGGGUCAUCCCGACUUACCAACCCGAUGCAAACUGCGAAUACCGGAGAAUGUUAUCACGGGAGACACACGGCGGGUGCUAACGUCCGUCGUGAAGAGGGAAACAACCCAGACCGCCAGCUAAGGUCCCAAAGUCAUGGUUAAGUGGGAAACGAUGUGGGAAGGCCCAGACAGCCAGGAUGUUGGCUUAGAAGCAGCCAUCAUUUAAAGAAAGCGUAAUAGCUCACUGGUCGAGUCGGCCUGCGCGGAAGAUGUAACGGGGCUAAACCAUGCACCGAAGCUGCGGCAGCGACGCUUAUGCGUUGUUGGGUAGGGGAGCGUUCUGUAAGCCUGUGAAGGUGUGCUGUGAGGCAUGCUGGAGGUAUCAGAAGUGCGAAUGCUGACAUAAGUAACGAUAAAGCGGGUGAAAAGCCCGCUCGCCGGAAGACCAAGGGUUCCUGUCCAACGUUAAUCGGGGCAGGGUGAGUCGACCCCUAAGGCGAGGCCGAAAGGCGUAGUCGAUGGGAAACAGGUUAAUAUUCCUGUACUUGGUGUUACUGCGAAGGGGGGACGGAGAAGGCUAUGUUGGCCGGGCGACGGUUGUCCCGGUUUAAGCGUGUAGGCUGGUUUUCCAGGCAAAUCCGGAAAAUCAAGGCUGAGGCGUGAUGACGAGGCACUACGGUGCUGAAGCAACAAAUGCCCUGCUUCCAGGAAAAGCCUCUAAGCAUCAGGUAACAUCAAAUCGUACCCCAAACCGACACAGGUGGUCAGGUAGAGAAUACCAAGGCGCUUGAGAGAACUCGGGUGAAGGAACUAGGCAAAAUGGUGCCGUAACUUCGGGAGAAGGCACGCUGAUAUGUAGGUGAAGCGACUUGCUCGUGGAGCUGAAAUCAGUCGAAGAUACCAGCUGGCUGCAACUGUUUAUUAAAAACACAGCACUGUGCAAACACGAAAGUGGACGUAUACGGUGUGACGCCUGCCCGGUGCCGGAAGGUUAAUUGAUGGGGUCAGCGCAAGCGAAGCUCUUGAUCGAAGCCCCGGUAAACGGCGGCCGUAACUAUAACGGUCCUAAGGUAGCGAAAUUCCUUGUCGGGUAAGUUCCGACCUGCACGAAUGGCGUAAUGAUGGCCAGGCUGUCUCCACCCGAGACUCAGUGAAAUUGAACUCGCUGUGAAGAUGCAGUGUACCCGCGGCAAGACGGAAAGACCCCGUGAACCUUUACUAUAGCUUGACACUGAACAUUGAGCCUUGAUGUGUAGGAUAGGUGGGAGGCUUAGAAGUGUGGACGCCAGUCUGCAUGGAGCCGACCUUGAAAUACCACCCUUUAAUGUUUGAUGUUCUAACGUUGACCCGUAAUCCGGGUUGCGGACAGUGUCUGGUGGGUAGUUUGACUGGGGCGGUCUCCUCCUAAAGAGUAACGGAGGAGCACGAAGGUUGGCUAAUCCUGGUCGGACAUCAGGAGGUUAGUGCAAUGGCAUAAGCCAGCUUGACUGCGAGCGUGACGGCGCGAGCAGGUGCGAAAGCAGGUCAUAGUGAUCCGGUGGUUCUGAAUGGAAGGGCCAUCGCUCAACGGAUAAAAGGUACUCCGGGGAUAACAGGCUGAUACCGCCCAAGAGUUCAUAUCGACGGCGGUGUUUGGCACCUCGAUGUCGGCUCAUCACAUCCUGGGGCUGAAGUAGGUCCCAAGGGUAUGGCUGUUCGCCAUUUAAAGUGGUACGCGAGCUGGGUUUAGAACGUCGUGAGACAGUUCGGUCCCUAUCUGCCGUGGGCGCUGGAGAACUGAGGGGGGCUGCUCCUAGUACGAGAGGACCGGAGUGGACGCAUCACUGGUGUUCGGGUUGUCAUGCCAAUGGCACUGCCCGGUAGCUAAAUGCGGAAGAGAUAAGUGCUGAAAGCAUCUAAGCACGAAACUUGCCCCGAGAUGAGUUCUCCCUGACUCCUUGAGA